GGCGGGAUAGCUCAGCUGGUUAGAGCGUCGGAAUCAUAAUCCGUAGGUCGUGGGUUCGAAUCCCUCUCCCGCUA
RNAcentral lists this transfer RNA (74 nucleotides) under Bacteroidota bacterium. RNAcentral describes it as "tRNA-Met". It matches the Rfam family "tRNA". From Rfam's summary of the family: Transfer RNA (tRNA) molecules are approximately 80 nucleotides in length. The record is from RNAcentral. Lineage: Bacteria; Pseudomonadati; Bacteroidota. RNAcentral also lists the same sequence under 3 other names.